Molecule: ribosomal RNA, 1482 nt
Filed under: uncultured bacterium
Lineage: Bacteria
Description: partial 16S ribosomal RNA
Rfam family: Bacterial small subunit ribosomal RNA
Source: RNAcentral
AGAGUUUGAUCCUGGCUCAGGAUGAACGCUGGCGGUAUGCCUAACACAUGCAAGUCGAACGAGCUUUUCGGAGCUAGUGGCGGACGGGUGAGUAACGCGUGAGAAUCUGCCUCGAGGAUGGGGAUAACAGUGGGAAACGACUGCUAAUACCCAAUAAGCCGGAAGGUAAAAGAUUUAUCGCCUGGAGAUGAGCUCGCGUCUGAUUAGCUAGUUGGUGGGGUAAGAGCCUACCAAGGCGACGAUCAGUAGCUGGUCUGAGAGGAUGAGCAGCCACACUGGGACUGAGACACGGCCCAGACUCCUACGGGAGGCAGCAGUGGGGAAUUUUCCGCAAUGGGCGCAAGCCUGACGGAGCAAUACCGCGUGAGGGAAGAAGGCUCUUGGGUUGUAAACCUCUUUUCUCAGGGAAGAAGUUCUGACGGUACCUGAGGAAUCAGCAUCGGCUAACUCCGUGCCAGCAGCCGCGGUAAUACGGAGGAUGCAAGCGUUAUCCGGAAUUAUUGGGCGUAAAGAGUCCGUAGGUGGUCAGAUAAGUCUGCUGUCAAAGACCGGGGCUUAACUCCGGAAAGGCAGUGGAAACUGUGUGACUAGAGACCGGGAGGGGUAGAGGGAAUUCCCAGUGUAGCGGUGAAAUGCGUAGAGAUUGGGAAGAACACCGGUGGCGAAGGCGCUCUACUGGACCGGAACUGACACUGAGGGACGAAAGCUAGGGGAGCGAAAGGGAUUAGAUACCCCUGUAGUCCUAGCUGUAAACGAUGGAUACUAGGCGUGGCUUGUAUCGACCCGAGCCGUGCCGGAGCUAACGCGAUAAGUAUCCCGCCUGGGGAGUACGCACGCAAGUGUGAAACUCAAAGGAAUUGACGGGGGCCCGCACAAGCGGUGGAGUAUGUGGUUUAAUUCGAUGCAACGCGAAGAACCUUACCAGGACUUGACAUCCCUCGAACUUCUGUGAAAGCGGAAGGUGCCUUCGGGAGCGAGGAGACAGGUGGUGCAUGGCUGUCGUCAGCUCGUGUCGUGAGAUGUUGGGUUAAGUCCCGCAACGAGCGCGACCCUCGUCUUCAGUUGCCAUCGGGUUUGGCCGGGCACUCUGAAGAAACUGCCGGUGACAAGCCGGAGGAAGGUGGGGAUGACGUCAAGUCCUCAUGGCCCUUACGGGCUGGGCUACACACGUGCUACAAUGGCGGUGACAGCGGGUUGCGAUCCUGCGAAGGUGAGCUAAUCCCGAAAAGCCGUCUCAGUUCGGAUUGCAGUCUGCAACUCGACUGCAUGAAGUCGGAAUCGCUAGUAAUCGCGGAUCAGCAUGCCGCGGUGAAUCCGUUCCCGGGCCUUGUACACACCGCCCGUCACACCAUGGGAGUUGGCUUUACCCGAAGGUGGUGCGCUAACCCGCAAGGGGGGCAGCCAACCACGGUAAGGUCAGCGACUGGGGUGAAGUCGUAACAAGGUAGCCGUAGGGGAACCUGCGGCUGGAUCACCUCCUUA